AGCGACUGAUCUCCCUGGCACUGGGAAGAAGAGAAAAAAGCCUCCUACUCCAGUAGCUGCACCAUCGCAGCUGCAAGUUUUUUCUGAUUAGUGGGGCAAAGCCACUUGGCGCUUUGAUGCUUCCUUCAGCAGUGCACGUGGCCAACGGCACCACAUCUGAGACCUGAUGGGGGUUCCUCUGUGCGCCGGGACUGGAGGCGUUCUGCCUUGAGAUACACAAGCUGCUGGCUCCAGGAGUGAACACAGCAAAUGUAUUCCUACAGCAGAAUCUGUAUCAGAACUGUAACUUGAAAAUCCAGCUGUUGCCUCCAGCAGCCGGGAGCACCUGCAGCGCCCAGAGGAAGGUGACAGUCCUGUCCCAGCAGGCAGUGCCAGAAGGUGCCCGUCACAGAGCUCACUGCCUGACGUUGUGGCAAGCUGCUUCAGGACACAGAGGAUACAUUUUCUUCCGGUAAAGUCCCCCAGGGACUGCACCACAUACAUUUGAACACACCCCACACAUGGAACUUGUGGCGUGCACAUGUAUUUCGACACAACCAUUGAAAAUGUGCCCAAAGCUUAUAAAAUAAUU
Long non-coding RNA from Oxyura jamaicensis (ruddy duck), 571 nucleotides. RefSeq lists it as uncharacterized. NCBI's taxonomy places the organism in Eukaryota, Metazoa, Chordata, Aves, Anseriformes, Anatidae. The transcript is spliced from 3 exons. The record is from RefSeq and is a predicted model, not a curated record.